Molecule: ribosomal RNA, 253 nt
Filed under: uncultured bacterium
Lineage: Bacteria
Description: partial 16S ribosomal RNA
Rfam family: Bacterial small subunit ribosomal RNA
Source: RNAcentral
UACGUAGGGGGCAAGCGUUGUCCGGAUUUAUUGGGCGUAAAGAGCUCGUAGGCGGUUCGUCGCGUCGGCUGUGAAAACCUGAGGCUCAACCUCAGGCCUGCAGUCGAUACGGGCGGACUUGAGUACUGCAGGGGAGACUGGAAUUCCUGGUGUAGCGGUGAAAUGCGCAGAUAUCAGGAGGGACACCGGUGGCGAAGGCGGGUCUCUGGGCAGUAACUGACGCUGAGGAGCGAAAGCGUGGGGAGCGAACAGG